This is a long non-coding RNA of Sapajus apella (tufted capuchin), 1029 nucleotides long. RefSeq lists it as uncharacterized. Lineage: Eukaryota; Metazoa; Chordata; Mammalia; Primates; Cebidae. The record is from RefSeq and is a predicted model, not a curated record. The transcript is spliced from 2 exons.
CACGACGGCCGGGCGCGCCGUCGUGACGUCAUCAGCGCGCACCGCCCCCACUUCCGAGCGCACGGGUGGUAGCUCCUAGAGCCCGGGCGUUCCGGGAACGCGAUCCUACUCGGCGGCCCUCCCUGCUUGCAUCGGCCACUCCUGAGGCUGAGGAAUUUCAUUCCUUUUUCGAAAACAGAUACCCAGGAAGCCUCUCGGUGCUCCCCCGUGGCUGGGCGAGUCUCCUGGGCCCCGAGAGGAGGCGGUGACAGGCCAGGGCCAUCGGCAGCGGUAGCAGGGGACUGCAUAGGGCUGCCUCGGGCCGACUAGCAGGCUCGCCGCGAGCCUCGGCGGCCCCAGUCCCCAGCGCAUGGAAUGUGCCCCGGGCCCCAUGAGCUCCCGGACCCGCGGUUGUGAGACAGGGCUUGGGCUGCUUGGAGCUAGUGAGCCAUCGGCCACGGCAGGCAUUUGAACAGAGCUUGGAGGCAAAGGGGUGAGAUGGUGCAUCCAUUGAGGUCACUUCAGGAGAUGACACUCCUGUGGCUAAGUGUAGCCUCCCAGGUAAGGCCCAGUCAAUGGAGAAUCCUCAGGUGGGCGACGGGUGGAGGAUGCGUGUGGUUUGGCAGAGGGGACAAAUGUGACAACAGUGUAAUAAGGGCCAUGUUGGGGAGGGUCAGUGGUCAGGGCCUGGCCCAACCUGAGCAGAAGGGAGGCUCUCUUAGGGAUAUUUGCCAGGUAGGAAUGGGUGGAGUGGAACUACAGGGCCACCAUGUUUCCCAUAGGUCACCCACGUUGUUGGCCUUGUCAUGUUUAUCCACGAAUCCUGGUGUUCUCUGUGGUCCUCCCAUCGUAGCUUUUAGGCUGUCCUUUCAGUUCUCCACUGUCCCUGCAUCACCCCUGCCCCUGUCCCUUGUGUGUUUCUGUUCAGUCCAUGUUCCCAGGUGUUGAGGUGGCCCCUGAUUCUGUGCCCCUUACCUAAGACCCUGUGCAGGGAAUCUGUGAAAACAGAGGAAAUAAAAAGUGGGGAAAAUACUACUCAUGCAUCAUCGA